This 432-nucleotide ribosomal RNA is filed under the name Proteus mirabilis. RNAcentral's name for it is "bacterial SSU rRNA". It matches the Rfam family "Bacterial small subunit ribosomal RNA", at positions 1 to 429 of the family's 1533-position model. Lineage: Bacteria; Pseudomonadati; Pseudomonadota; Gammaproteobacteria; Enterobacterales; Morganellaceae. The record is from RNAcentral.
UAAUUGAAGAGUUUGAUCAUGGCUCAGAUUGAACGCUGGCGGCAGGCCUAACACAUGCAAGUCGAGCGGUAACAGGAGAAAGCUUGCUUUCUUGCUGACGAGCGGCGGACGGGUGAGUAAUGUAUGGGGAUCUGCCCGAUAGAGGGGGAUAACUACUGGAAACGGUGGCUAAUACCGCAUAAUGUCUACGGACCAAAGCAGGGGCUCUUCGGACCUUGCACUAUCGGAUGAACCCAUAUGGGAUUAGCUAGUAGGUGGGGUAAAGGCUCACCUAGGCGACGAUCUCUAGCUGGUCUGAGAGGAUGAUCAGCCACACUGGGACUGAGACACGGCCCAGACUCCUACGGGAGGCAGCAGUGGGGAAUAUUGCACAAUGGGCGCAAGCCUGAUGCAGCCAUGCCGCGUGUAUGAAGAAGGCCUUAGGGUUGUAAA